Molecule: ribosomal RNA, 2902 nt
Filed under: Escherichia coli
Lineage: Bacteria; Pseudomonadati; Pseudomonadota; Gammaproteobacteria; Enterobacterales; Enterobacteriaceae
Description: 23S ribosomal RNA
Rfam family: Bacterial large subunit ribosomal RNA
Source: RNAcentral
GGUUAAGCGACUAAGCGUACACGGUGGAUGCCCUGGCAGUCAGAGGCGAUGAAGGACGUGCUAAUCUGCGAUAAGCGUCGGUAAGGUGAUAUGAACCGUUAUAACCGGCGAUUUCCGAAUGGGGAAACCCAGUGUGUUUCGACACACUAUCAUUAACUGAAUCCAUAGGUUAAUGAGGCGAACCGGGGGAACUGAAACAUCUAAGUACCCCGAGGAAAAGAAAUCAACCGAGAUUCCCCCAGUAGCGGCGAGCGAACGGGGAGCAGCCCAGAGCCUGAAUCAGUGUGUGUGUUAGUGGAAGCGUCUGGAAAGGCGCGCGAUACAGGGUGACAGCCCCGUACACAAAAAUGCACAUGCUGUGAGCUCGAUGAGUAGGGCGGGACACGUGGUAUCCUGUCUGAAUAUGGGGGACCAUCCUCCAAGGCUAAAUACUCCUGACUGACCGAUAGUGAACCAGUACCGUGAGGGAAAGGCGAAAAGAACCCCGGCGAGGGGAGUGAAAAAGAACCUGAAACCGUGUACGUACAAGCAGUGGGAGCACGCUUAGGCGUGUGACUGCGUACCUUUUGUAUAAUGGGUCAGCGACUUAUAUUCUGUAGCAAGGUUAACCGAAUAGGGGAGCCGAAGGGAAACCGAGUCUUAACUGGGCGUUAAGUUGCAGGGUAUAGACCCGAAACCCGGUGAUCUAGCCAUGGGCAGGUUGAAGGUUGGGUAACACUAACUGGAGGACCGAACCGACUAAUGUUGAAAAAUUAGCGGAUGACUUGUGGCUGGGGGUGAAAGGCCAAUCAAACCGGGAGAUAGCUGGUUCUCCCCGAAAGCUAUUUAGGUAGCGCCUCGUGAAUUCAUCUCCGGGGGUAGAGCACUGUUUCGGCAAGGGGGUCAUCCCGACUUACCAACCCGAUGCAAACUGCGAAUACCGGAGAAUGUUAUCACGGGAGACACACGGCGGGUGCUAACGUCCGUCGUGAAGAGGGAAACAACCCAGACCGCCAGCUAAGGUCCCAAAGUCAUGGUUAAGUGGGAAACGAUGUGGGAAGGCCCAGACAGCCAGGAUGUUGGCUUAGAAGCAGCCAUCAUUUAAAGAAAGCGUAAUAGCUCACUGGUCGAGUCGGCCUGCGCGGAAGAUGUAACGGGGCUAAACCAUGCACCGAAGCUGCGGCAGCGACGCUGAUGCGUUGUUGGGUAGGGGAGCGUUCUGUAAGCCUGCGAAGGUGUGCUGUGAGGCAUGCUGGAGGUAUCAGAAGUGCGAAUGCUGACAUAAGUAACGAUAAAGCGGGUGAAAAGCCCGCUCGCCGGAAGACCAAGGGUUCCUGUCCAACGUUAAUCGGGGCAGGGUGAGUCGACCCCUAAGGCGAGGCCGAAAGGCGUAGUCGAUGGGAAACAGGUUAAUAUUCCUGUACUUGGUGUUACUGCGAAGGGGGACGGAGAAGGCUAUGUUGGUAGGGCGACGGUUGUCCCGGUUUAAGCGUGUAGGCUGGUUUUCCAGGCAAAUCCGGAAAAUCAAGGCUGAGGCGUGAUGACGAGGCACUACGGUGCUGAAGCAACAAAUGCCCUGCUUCCAGGAAAAGCCUCUAAGCAUCAGGUAACAUCAAAUCGUACCCCAAACCGACACAGGUGGUCAGGUAGAGAAUACCAAGGCGCUUGAGAGAACUCGGGUGAAGGAACUAGGCAAAAUGGUGCCGUAACUUCGGGAGAAGGCACGCUGAUAUGUAGGUGAAGUCCCUUGCGGAUGGAGCUGAAAUCAGUCGAAGAUACCAGCUGGCUGCAACUGUUUAUUAAAAACACAGCACUGUGCAAACACGAAAGUGGACGUAUACGGUGUGACGCCUGCCCGGUGCCGGAAGGUUAAUUGAUGGGGUUAGCGCAAGCGAAGCUCUUGAUCGAAGCCCCGGUAAACGGCGGUACGUAACUAUAACGGUCCUAAGGUAGCGAAAUUCCUUGUCGGGUAAGUUCCGACCUGCACGAAUGGCGUAAUGAUGGCCAGGCUGUCUCCACCCGAGACUCAGUGAAAUUGAACUCGCUGUGAAGAUGCAGUGUACCCGCGGCAAGACGGAAAGACCCCGUGAACCUUUACUAUAGCUUGACACUGAACAUUGAGCCUUGAUGUGUAGGAUAGGUGGGAGGCUUUGAAGUGUGGACGCCAGUCUGCAUGGAGCCGACCUUGAAAUACCACCCUUUAAUGUUUGAUGUUCUAACGUGGACCCGUGAUCCGGGUUGCGGACAGUGUCUGGUGGGUAGUUUGACUGGGGCGGUCUCCUCCUAAAGAGUAACGGAGGAGCACGAAGGUUGGCUAAUCCUGGUCGGACAUCAGGAGGUUAGUGCAAUGGCAUAAGCCAGCUUGACUGCGAGCGUGACGGCGCGAGCAGGUGCGAAAGCAGGUCAUAGUGAUCCGGUGGUUCUGAAUGGAAGGGCCAUCGCUCAACGGAUAAAAGGUACUCCGGGGAUAACAGGCUGAUACCGCCCAAGAGUUCAUAUCGACGGCGGUGUUUGGCACCUCGAUGUCGGCUCAUCACAUCCUGGGGCUGAAGUAGGUCCCAAGGGUAUGGCUGUUCGCCAUUUAAAGUGGUACGCGAGCUGGGUUUAGAACGUCGUGAGACAGUUCGGUCCCUAUCUGCCGUGGGCGCUGGAGAACUGAGGGGGCUGCUCCUAGUACGAGAGGACCGGAGUGGACGCAUCACUGGUGUUCGGGUUGUCAUGCCAAUGGCACUGCCCGGUAGCUAAAUGCGGAAGAGAUAAGUGCUGAAAGCAUCUAAGCACGAAACUUGCCCCGAGAUGAGUUCUCCCUGACUCCUUGAGAGUCCUGAAGGAACGUUGAAGACGACGACGUUGAUAGGCCGGGUGUGUAAGCGCAGCGAUGCGUUGAGCUAACCGGUACUAAUGAACCGUGAGGCUUAACCUU